GAUGAACGCUAGCGACAGGCUUAACACAUGCAAGUCGAGGGGCAGCAAGAAUUGUAGCAAUACAAUUUGUUGGCGACCGGCGCACGGGUGAGUAACGCGUGAGCAACCUGCCCAUAAGUUGGGGAUAGCCCUGGGAAACCGGGAUUAAUACCGAAUGUGGUAGCAAUACUAAAGCAGUAAUGCGCUUAUGGAGGGGCUCGCGUCCUAUUAGUUAGUUGGGGAGGUAACGGCUCACCAAGGCGAUGACGGGUAGCCGGUCUGAGAGGAUGUCCGGCCACACUGGAACUGAGACACGGUCCAGACACCUACGGGUGGCAGCAGUCGAGAAUCAUUCACAAUGGGGGCAACCCUGAUGGUGCGACGCCGCGUGGGGGAAGAAGGUCUUCGGAUUGUAAACCCCUGUCAUGUGGGAGCAAGCAGCAAUGUUGAUAGUACCACAAGAGGAAGAGACGGCUAACUCCGUGCCAGCAGCCGCCGUAACAC
This 483-nucleotide ribosomal RNA is filed under the name uncultured bacterium. RNAcentral's name for it is "bacterial SSU rRNA". It matches the Rfam family "Bacterial small subunit ribosomal RNA", at positions 28 to 526 of the family's 1533-position model. The record is from RNAcentral.